UAAUAAAUUAUUAUCUUUAUUAUUAAAUGAAAUAGGGAAGUGGGGAGGACAGCUGUGUACUCCAACUCAAGAUUCUUGGAGGAAAGGUGGGGUAUAAAUGUAAAAUUGAUGGUAACGGCAGCCAGACAGGUUAUAGCGCGUAAUUGGAAAAAUGCAGAGGAGCUGGGGUGAACCAGUGGGGGAAAAAACGGAAUAAUAUUAUAAUUUUAGAAUAUCUAACUGAAGAUACACAGAAUGAAAGGGUUUAAGGUCAGUGAGAAAGAGGAGGAUUGGUUGGAGAAGAUACUGAAUUAUUUGGGUAGGUUUGAACAAUUUGGGGCAAUUAAAAUGUUAAAAGUUAAAUUAACCUUGUGCAUGGAGGAGUGUUAACGUAGAUAAAAUUGUACAUAUGGUUGAUUUGAAUAUGUUAUUAUUGAUAAUGAAUACCCAAUGUAUCAGCCCCCUGGGGGGUUUCACUGUUUGUGUUUUGGUUGUUUGU
Podarcis lilfordi (Lilford's wall lizard) is the source of this 478-nucleotide non-coding RNA. The record is from the annotation of a GenBank genome assembly. Lineage: Eukaryota; Metazoa; Chordata; Lepidosauria; Squamata; Lacertidae.